UGAUUCAAAACUAACUUUUAAUGCGGGUUUCUUGGAUUAUGUUGCUUUCCUAAUUAUGGAAUGCCUCCUAAACUUAUCCGAAUAAUUGCAAAUAUUAAUUCAUCUCUUCUUUCAUAUAUAUAUAUAUAUAUAUAUAUAUAUAUAUAUAUAUUUUUUUUUUAAAAAAAAAAAAAACCAAACAUUUUCUUCUUAGGUUUGAUAAAUUGGCCUUAAAAGAUAUGUGUACUCAUGGAUUAAAUUUAUAAUAUGCCUUAAAAUUGAGAUAGACAAUUAACAAUCCAACUUUAAACACCUACCAGGGGACAAAAUACAAAAUGUGCCUAACCUUACACGGUGACCGUAAAUUAUAAAGAAACACAUAUUAUACCAUGCCUUUUUUUUUUUUUUUUAAAAUUAAUUUCCAGAAAUCUUCUGUAUACUACAUAAGGUCGCCUGCAAAUGCCUUUUUUUUUUUUUUUAAUUAAUUUCCAGAAAUCUUCUGUAUACAACAUAAGGUUGCCUGCAAAUGCCUUUUUUUUUUUUUUUUUUUUUAAUUAAUUUCCAGAAAUCUUCUGUAUACUACAUAAGGUCGCCUGCAUCUUUUUUGGCUUUUAAAUCUUACUUUUUGAUAUUGGAACGGAAAAUCAAAAACUGACAAAGCAACUUAGACUAAGACAUAAGAACGCUGUGUGUCAAUGUAUAAAGCCUUAUGUUUAAUGAAAUUCCUGACAAACAGAAUAAGCUAAAAAUUAUCAGAAAAGUAAGUAAGAUCUAUGACUUAGAUCCUUUUUCACAGAUUUAAAUGUCUUGCAUGCAUGGAAGACCAAAAAAGUAUACCCUUAAGUGAGGUGACAAAAUGCUAGUUUAUAGGUCAGAAGAUUCAGAGAUUUAAAUGUGAAUACUGAAAGAAAAAGAUAAAAGGGAUGAAUGUAGAAGAACAGUGAAAAAAUUUUCAACCUGCCCAAAUCACCAGCAUGCAUUUUAUAUGGGGGGAAAAAGGUCAAGAUUAAAGCUUAAAAUACAGAUGCAGUUUCUAAAGCAAAGUUAUGCACUUAACAAAACUCAAACAACAAGCCAAAGUAUUAGGCCUCCUAUAUCUAGCAUUGCAGACACCAAUGGAUAGCAAUGUCAUAUAGCAUAGUUAAUUCAAAGAUCUUGACAAGAAGAACCACCCUUCAGCAUAAAACUUUGAGGGGUUCUUAGUAAAAUUCAUAAAAAUAAUGAAACCAAACAGUAUUGAUUACUAAUUAUUCAUCCAAAGAAAGAGAGACCUCAGCGAAAAAGAAUCAUAAAACACAAAAAAUGAGCAAAAGGGAUUGAAAAGGCUGCAAUGCUAUACUGUAUAAGAUAACGUUGGUUAUCAUAAGCUAGAAAGAUCUUGAAAUGCAAGACAUAAUUUGUUUGCUAAAAAGUAAAUAGGGAAAGAAAUGAAUUAAUUAAAGUCCCGCUUUAGACAAUCAUAUAUGGAUCCACUAGGUAGACCACACGACCUACAUAGACGACCCACCAAAUGGACCAGUACACGUAAGCCCACUAGGUCGGUCAGAAGCAUAUAUUCUAACCCUUUAGUGAAAAAGACACCAUGUUCUUGCUAAAGAGUCUAGAGAGGAACACGAACGGUCAGCUUAGUUCCACCCAAAAAAUAAAUUUCCAAAUCAAGAAUUGCAAUCAACGGGAUAUUAGAAUCCAAGGAUGAGAGGUAAAGGAAACAAACUAAAAACAACACUAGUGGAAUCAUCAAUGAGAGCCAAUGAAUUCAGACUAAAAUGCAAUGCAAUGCCAAAAAACAGAAAAAAAAGAAAAA
Molecule: long non-coding RNA, 1783 nt
Organism: Ziziphus jujuba (common jujube)
Lineage: Eukaryota; Viridiplantae; Streptophyta; Magnoliopsida; Rosales; Rhamnaceae
Exons: 2
Source: RefSeq, a predicted model, not a curated record